Corapipo altera (White-ruffed manakin) is the source of this 740-nucleotide long non-coding RNA. RefSeq lists it as uncharacterized. The record is from RefSeq and is a predicted model, not a curated record. The transcript has 2 exons. Lineage: Eukaryota; Metazoa; Chordata; Aves; Passeriformes; Pipridae.
UCUCUCUUUUUUCUUUUUUUUUUUCUUCUUUUUUUUUUUUUUUUUUAAUCUGCUUCCGACUGGCUUUCGCCUUCGCACUGGCUCGCCGGUGUGCGGCGUUCGGGCUGGGGGUCCUAAAAGAACGCAGUCCGUCCGGCCCAAGGCGCGGCGGGAGCGUGGGAAGCGCCCCAUGCUCCUGGCUGUCACUCCUCGGGAGGCUCGGUGCGAGGGUCCCCCCCGCCUCCGACGGGUCGUGCUCAGAAGAGCUCUCCUGCCCGGAGCUCAGAAGGAGCCUGGCUAACCGCUCCAAGGGAAAGGGAAAAAGGGGCACGCAAAUUCUGCAGAAAGGUUCCUUCGAAAGGCAUCCUUUACACUGCUGUCUGCGUUGUGGAUAUUUUUUCCUCAGUGAUCACCGGGGCACUUCAAAAUGUUCUGUGCUGUGGGCCGGUUCAAUUAACAUAAAAUAAGCAAACAGCUCAUGACGGAGAGCACAGUUGGAUGUUGGUUAAGAUGCGUCCCACCACCGUCUUGUACCUCAUGUUAAGCUGCCAAUAUAAGUUUUCGUCCAGGCAGCAGGCACAGGAAAGAGUUCCAAAUUAGCAUCCCACUGGCAGAAAUGGUUGCAACGUGAAUUCCUUUCUAGCUGGCCUAGCACCAUCCACUUAGCAAACAACAUGAAUGGGACAAAUGCUGCUGUUCCCUAGCAAGCAGUGAGUUGACCUGGGAGUAGGAAUAGAAUACUGUAUAUCUGCACAAAAAAA